CGAGCGGUAGCACGGGAGAGCUUGCUCUCUGGGUGACGAGCGGCGGACGGGUGAGUAAUGUCUGGGGAUCUGCCUGAUGGAGGGGGAUAACUACUGGAAACGGUAGCUAAUACCGCAUAACGUCGCAAGACCAAAGAGGGGGACCUUCGGGCCUCUUGCCAUCAGAUGAACCCAGAUGGGAUUAGCUAGUAGGUGGGGUAACGGCUCACCUAGGCGACGAUCCCUAGCUGGUCUGAGAGGAUGACCAGCCACACUGGAACUGAGACACGGUCCAGACUCCUACGGGAGGCAGCAGUGGGGAAUAUUGCACAAUGGGCGCAAGCCUGAUGCAGCCAUGCCGCGUGUAUGAAGAAGGCCUUCGGGUUGUAAAGUACUUUCAGCGAGGAGGAAGGCAUUAAGGUUAAUAACCUUGGUGAUUGACGUUACUCGCAGAAGAAGCACCGGCUAACUCCGUGCCAGCAGCCGCGGUAAUACGGAGGGUGCAAGCGUUAAUCGGAAUUACUGGGCGUAAAGCGCACGCAGGCGGUUUGUUAAGUCGGAUGUGAAAUCCCCGGGCUCAACCUGGGAACUGCAUUCGAAACUGGCAAGCUUGAGUCUUGUAGAGGGGGGUAGAAUUCCAGGUGUAGCGGUGAAAUGCGUAGAGAUCUGGAGGAAUACCGGUGGCGAAGGCGGCCCCCUGGACAAAGACUGACGCUCAGGUGCGAAAGCGUGGGGAGCAAACAGGAUUAGAUACCCUGGUAGUCCACGCCGUAAACGAUGUCGACUUUGGAGGUUGUGCCCUUUGAGGCGUGGCUUCCGGAGCUAACGCGUUAAGUCGACCGCCUGGGGGAGUACGGGCCGCAAGGUUAAAACUCAAAUUGAUUUGACGGGGGCCCGCACAAGCGGUGGGAGCAUGUGGGUUUAAUUCCAAUGCAACGCCGAAGAACCU
RNAcentral lists this ribosomal RNA (928 nucleotides) under Cedecea lapagei. Its description in RNAcentral is "bacterial SSU rRNA". It matches the Rfam family "Bacterial small subunit ribosomal RNA", at positions 63 to 971 of the family's 1533-position model. The record is from RNAcentral. Lineage: Bacteria; Pseudomonadati; Pseudomonadota; Gammaproteobacteria; Enterobacterales; Enterobacteriaceae.